UACAGAGGGGGCAAGCGUUGUUCGGAAUUACUGGGCGUAAAGGGCGCGUAGGCGGCCCGCUAAGUCGCACGUGAAAUCCCCGGGCUCAACCCGGGAACUGCGUCCGAUACUGGUGGGCUUGAAUCCGGGAGAGGGAUGCGGAAUUCCAGGUGUAGCGGUGAAAUGCGUAGAUAUCUGGAGGAACACCGGUGGCGAAGGCGGCAUCCUGGACCGGUAUUGACGCUGAGGCGCGAAAGCCAGGGGAGCAAACGGG
This 253-nucleotide ribosomal RNA is filed under the name uncultured bacterium. RNAcentral describes it as "partial 16S ribosomal RNA". It matches the Rfam family "Bacterial small subunit ribosomal RNA", at positions 524 to 776 of the family's 1533-position model. The record is from RNAcentral.